This 276-nucleotide unclassified non-coding RNA is filed under the name uncultured fungus. RNAcentral describes it as "sequence contains ITS1, 5.8S rRNA gene". The stretch from base 228 to 276 matches the Rfam family "5.8S ribosomal RNA", at positions 1 to 49 of the family's 154-position model. The record is from RNAcentral. Lineage: Eukaryota; Fungi.
UUUCCGUAGGUGAACCUGCGGAAGGAUCAUUACAUAUCAUCCAGUGUGGUCGCGGCCUCCGGGUUCUUCCCGGGCGGUAGGAGGUAACACUCUUCACGCGCCACGCGUUUGAAUCCUUUUUUUACGAGCACCAUUCGUUCUCCUUCGGUGGGGCAACCUGCCGUUGGAACCAUACAAAACCUUUUUUGCAUCUAGCAUUACCUGUUCCGAUAACAAACAAUCGUUACAACUUUCAACAAUGGAUCUCUUGGCUCUGGCAUCGAUGAAGAACGCAGC